GACGAACGCUGGCGGCGUGCUUAACACAUGCAAGUCGAGCGGUAAGGCCCUUUCGGGGGUACGACGAGCGGCGAACGGGUGAGUAACACGUGGGUGACCUGCCCUCAGCUCUGGGAUAAGCCUGGGAAACCGGGUCUAAUACCGGAUAUGACUCCAUGACGCAUGUUGUGGGGUGGAAAGCCUUGUGCGGCUGAGGAUGGGCCCGCGGCCUAUCAGCUUGUUGGUGGGGUGAUGGCCUACCAAGGCGACGACGGGUAGCCGGCCUGAGAGGGCGACCGGCCACACUGGGACUGAGGACACGGCCCAGACUCCUACGGGAGGCAGCAGUGGGGAAUCUUGCGCAAUGGGCGAAAGCCUGACGCAGCGACGCCGCGUGAGGGAUGACGGCCU
Molecule: ribosomal RNA, 390 nt
Filed under: uncultured bacterium
Lineage: Bacteria
Description: bacterial SSU rRNA
Rfam family: Bacterial small subunit ribosomal RNA
Source: RNAcentral